AGACCCGAAACCCGGUGAUCUAGCCAUGGGCAGGUUGAAGGUUGGGUAACACUAACUGGAGGACCGAACCGACUAAUGUUGAAAAAUUAGCGGAUGACCUGUGGCUGGGGGUGAAAGGCCAAUCAAACCGGGAGAUAGCUGGUUCUCCCCGAAAGCUAUUUAGGUAGCGCCUCGUGAAUUCAUCUCCGGGGGUAGAGCACUGUUUCGGCUAGGGGGCCAUCCCGGCUUACCAACCCGAUGCAAACUGCGAAUACCGGAGAAUGUUAUCACGGGAGACACACGGCGGGUGCUAACGUCCGUCGUGAAGAGGGAAACAACCCAGACCGCCAGCUAAGGUCCCAAAGUCAUGGUUAAGUGGGAAACGAUGUGGGAAGGCCCAGACAGCCAGGAUGUUGGCUUAGAAGCAGCCAUCAUUUAAAGAAAGCGUAAUAGCUCACUGGUCGAGUCGGCCUGCGCGGAAGAUGUAACGGGGCUAAACCAUGCACCGAAGCUGCGGCAGCGACACUCAGGUGUUGUUGGGUAGGGGAGCGUUCUGUAAGCCUGUGAAGGUGGCCUGUGAGGGUUGCUGGAGGUAUCAGAAGUGCGAAUGCUGACAUAAGUAACGAUAAAGCGGGUGAAAAGCCCGCUCGCCGGAAGACCAAGGGUUCCUGUCCAACGUUAAUCGGGGCAGGGUGAGUCGACCCCUAAGGCGAGGCCGAAAGGCGUAGUCGAUGGGAAACGGGUUAAUAUUCCCGUACUUGGUGUUACUGCGAAGGGGGGACGGAGAAGGCUAUGUUGGCCGGGCGACGGUUGUCCCGGUUUAAGCGUGUAGGUGUGU
Molecule: ribosomal RNA, 817 nt
Filed under: Salmonella enterica subsp. enterica serovar Litchfield
Lineage: Bacteria; Pseudomonadati; Pseudomonadota; Gammaproteobacteria; Enterobacterales; Enterobacteriaceae
Description: partial 23S ribosomal RNA
Rfam family: Bacterial large subunit ribosomal RNA
Source: RNAcentral